AAAUUGAAGAGUUUGAUCAUGGCUCAGAUUGAACGCUGGCGGCAGGCCUAACACAUGCAAGUCGAACGGUAACAGGAAGCAGCUUGCUGCUUUGCUGACGAGUGGCGGACGGGUGAGUAAUGUCUGGGAAACUGCCUGAUGGAGGGGGAUAACUACUGGAAACGGUGGCUAAUACCGCAUAACGUCGCAAGGCCAAAGAGGGGGACCUUCGGGCCUCUUGCCAUCAGAUGUGCCCAGAUGGGAUUAGCUUGUUGGUGAGGUAACGGCUCACCAAGGCGACGAUCCCUAGCUGGUCUGAGAGGAUGACCAGCCACACUGGAACUGAGACACGGUCCAGACUCCUACGGGAGGCAGCAGUGGGGAAUAUUGCACAAUGGGCGCAAGCCUGAUGCAGCCAUGCCGCGUGUAUGAAGAAGGCCUUCGGGUUGUAAAGUACUUUCAGCGGGGAGGAAGGUGUUG
RNAcentral lists this ribosomal RNA (459 nucleotides) under Salmonella enterica. Its description in RNAcentral is "bacterial SSU rRNA". It matches the Rfam family "Bacterial small subunit ribosomal RNA", at positions 1 to 456 of the family's 1533-position model. RNAcentral also lists the same sequence under 2 other names. The record is from RNAcentral. Lineage: Bacteria; Pseudomonadati; Pseudomonadota; Gammaproteobacteria; Enterobacterales; Enterobacteriaceae.